RNAcentral lists this transfer RNA (66 nucleotides) under human gut metagenome. It matches the Rfam family "tRNA". From Rfam's summary of the family: Transfer RNA (tRNA) molecules are approximately 80 nucleotides in length. The record is from RNAcentral. RNAcentral also lists the same sequence under 1 other name.
GUCUAUAGCCAAGUGGUAAGGCACGGGACUGCAACUCCCUCAUCGUUGGUUCAAAUCCGACUAGGC